RNAcentral lists this ribosomal RNA (407 nucleotides) under uncultured bacterium. RNAcentral's name for it is "partial 16S ribosomal RNA". It matches the Rfam family "Bacterial small subunit ribosomal RNA", at positions 29 to 526 of the family's 1533-position model. The record is from RNAcentral.
AUUGAACGCUGGCGGCGGGCCUCACACAUGCAAGUCGAGCGGAGCGGGGGACGGGGGAGGAAUGACUAGGAAUCUGCAUGGUAGUGGGGGAUAACGUCAAGAAACGGGCGAUUAUACAGCAUACUAUCAGCUGCGCCUAGGGAGGAUUAGCUAGUGGGGGGGGUAAAGGCCUACCAAGGCGACGAUCCGUCACUGGUCUGAGAGGAUGAUCAGUCACACUGGAACUGAGACACGGUCCAGACUCCUACGGGAGGCAGCAGUGGGGAAGAUUGGACAAUGGGCGAAAGCCUGAUCCAGCCAUGCCGCGUGUGUGAAGAAGGUCUUCGGAUUGUAAAGCACUUUAAGUUGGGAGGCGUUACCAACAGAAUAAGCACCGGCUAACUUCGUGCCAGCAGCCGCGGUAAUAC